Molecule: ribosomal RNA, 1677 nt
Filed under: human gut metagenome
Description: bacterial LSU rRNA
Rfam family: Bacterial large subunit ribosomal RNA
Source: RNAcentral
GGGAGUGAAAGAGAACCUGAAACCCUGCACUUACAAGCUGUGGGAGCACAUUACUUGUGUGACCGCGUACUUUUUGUAGAACGGGCCAACGAGUUACGUUAAGUAGCAAGGUUAAGCACUUAAGGUGUGGAGCCGUAGCGAAAGCGAGUCUUAAAUGGGCGUCUAGUUACCCGACGUAGACCCGAAACCGGGCGACCUAUCCAUGAGCAGGUUGAAGCGAAAGUAAAAUUUCGUGGAGGACCGAACCCACGAGCGUUGAAAAGCUCGGGGAUGACCUGUGGAUAGCGGUGAAAUUCCAAUCGAGCCCGGAGAUAGCUGGUUCUCUCCGAAAUAGCUUUAGGGCUAGCCUCAAGCGUAGAGAAACGGAGGUAGAGCACUGAAUGUCCUAGGGGGUAUUGCACUUACCGAAGACUAUCAAACUCCGAAUACCGUAUACUUAUGCUUGGGAGUCAGACUAUGGGUGAUAAGAUUCAUAGUCAAAAGGGCAACAGCCCAGAUCGUCAGCUAAGGUCCCUAAAUGUACGUUAAGUGGUAAAGGAUGUGGGAUUGCACAGACAACCAGGAUGUUGGCUUAGAAGCAGCCACUCAUUUAAAGAGUGCGUAAUAGCUCACUGGUCGAGUGAUCCUGCGCCGAAAAUUUCCGGGGCUAAAACGUACUACCGAAGCUACGGCAUCAUUUAUGAUGGGUAGGAGAGCUUCCCAUACGGGUUGAAGCAUGACCGAAAGGACAUGUGGACUGUAUGGGAGUGAGAAUGUUGGCAUGAGUAGCGAGAUGUGGGUGAGAAUCCCACAGGCCGUAAACCCAAGGUUUCCAGGGGAAGGUUCGUCCGCCCUGGGUUAGUCAGGACCUAAGCCGAGGCCGAAAGGCGUAGGUGAUGGACAACAGGUUGAUAUUCCUGUACCACCAAUAACCGUUUGAGAAAUGGGAUGACACAGUAGGAUAAGCUAACCGCACUGUUGGUUAUGUGCGGGCAAGUAUUGAGGCAGUUCUAAUAGGCAAAUCCGUUAGAAUAAUGCUAGGGUACGAUGCGGAGCGAAAUUUAGUAGCGAAGUAGCUGAUUUCACACUGUCGAGAAAAGUCUCUAUCGAGGUUAAAGGUGCCUGUACCGCAAACCGACACAGGUGGGUGAGGAGAGUAUCCUAAGGCCAGCGAGAGAACUGUUGUUAAGGAACUCGGCAAAAUGACCCCGUAACUUCGGGAGAAGGGGUGCCUUCGAAAGAAGGCCGCAGAGAAUAGGCCCAAGCGACUGUUUACCAAAAACAUAGGUUUCUGCUAAGUCGCAAGACGAUGUAUAGGAGCUGACGCCUGCCCGGUGCUGGAAGGUUAAGGGGAUCUGUUAGAGCAAUCGAAGCAGUGAACUUAAGCCCCAGUAAACGGCGGCCGUAACUAUAACGGUCCUAAGGUAGCGAAAUUCCUUGUCGGGUAAGUUCCGACCCGCACGAAAGGCGUAACGAUUUGGGCACUGUCUCAACAACAGACUCGGUGAAAUUGUAAUACCGGUGAAGAUGCCGGUUACCUGCGACAGGACGGAAAGACCCCAUGGAGCUUUACUGUAGCUUGACAUUGAGUCUCGGUGCUACAUGUACAGGAUAGGUGGGAGACUAUGAAGCAUGGACGUCAGUCUGUGUGGAGUCAUCCUUGGGAUACCACCCUUGUAGUACUGGGAUUCUAACCAG